RNAcentral lists this ribosomal RNA (253 nucleotides) under uncultured bacterium. Its description in RNAcentral is "partial 16S ribosomal RNA". It matches the Rfam family "Bacterial small subunit ribosomal RNA", at positions 524 to 776 of the family's 1533-position model. The record is from RNAcentral.
UACAGAGGUCCCAAGCGUUGUUCGGAUUUAUUGGGCGUAAAGAGCUCGUAGGCGGCUUGUCACGUCUGCUGUGAAAACUCGGGGCUCAACCCCGAGCCUGCAGUGGAUACGGGCUAGCUAGAGUGCGGUAGGGGAGACUGGAAUUCCUGGUGUAGCGGUGAAAUGCGCAGAUAUCAGGAGGAACACCGGUGGCGAAGGCGGGUCUCUGGACCGAUACUGACGCUGAGGAGCGAAAGCGUGGGGAGCGAACAGG